UUGACUGGGUUGGUUCACCUAUCAGAUGGUAAAGUAGGUGUUCUUAGGUGAGCUCAAGGAAGAGAGAAAUCUCCCAUGGAGCAGGACAAAAACUCACUUGAUCUUGAUUAUCUAUAUUUAUAUGACUGUGAAAGUAGGACCAUGAAAAUUUUCUGAUCUUUGGAGUUACCACUGUGAAGCAGAAU
This 185-nucleotide non-coding RNA is filed under the name Cercocebus atys (sooty mangabey). Its description in RNAcentral is "Eukaryotic large subunit ribosomal RNA". It matches the Rfam family "Eukaryotic large subunit ribosomal RNA", at positions 2621 to 2802 of the family's 3401-position model. RNAcentral also lists the same sequence under 1 other name. The record is from Rfam by way of RNAcentral. Lineage: Eukaryota; Metazoa; Chordata; Mammalia; Primates; Cercopithecidae.